UACGGAGGGGGCUAGCGUUAUUCGGAAUUACUGGGCGUAAAGCGCACGUAGGCGGAUUGGAAAGUCAGAGGUGAAAUCCCAGAGCUCAACUUUGGAACUGCCUUUGAAACUCCCAGUCUUGAGGUCGAGAGAGGUGAGUGGAAUUCCGAGUGUAGAGGUGAAAUUCGUAGAUAUUCGGAGGAACACCAGUGGCGAAGGCGGCUCACUGGCUCGAUACUGACGCUGAGGUGCGAAAGCGUGGGGAGCAAACAGG
This 253-nucleotide non-coding RNA is filed under the name uncultured bacterium. RNAcentral describes it as "partial 16S ribosomal RNA". It matches the Rfam family "Bacterial small subunit ribosomal RNA", at positions 524 to 776 of the family's 1533-position model. The record is from RNAcentral. RNAcentral also lists the same sequence under 1 other name.